RNAcentral lists this ribosomal RNA (223 nucleotides) under uncultured soil bacterium. RNAcentral describes it as "partial 16S ribosomal RNA". It matches the Rfam family "Bacterial small subunit ribosomal RNA", at positions 26 to 277 of the family's 1533-position model. The record is from RNAcentral.
AGAACGAACGCUGGCGGCAUGCCUAAUACAUGCAAGUCGAACGAACACUUCGGUGUUAGUGGCGCACGGGUGCGUAACGCGUGGGAAUCUGCCCUUGGGUUCGGAAUAACAGUUGGAAACGACUGCUAAUACCGGAUGAUGACGAAAGUCCAAAGAUUUAUCGCCCAGGGAUGAGCCCGCGUAGGAUUAGCUAGUUGGUGAGGUAAUGGCUCACCAAGGCGAC